RNAcentral lists this long non-coding RNA (652 nucleotides) under Sus scrofa (pig). RNAcentral describes it as "lncRNA (ENSSSCG00070001441.1)". Lineage: Eukaryota; Metazoa; Chordata; Mammalia; Artiodactyla; Suidae. The record is from RNAcentral.
AGGCGUUCACUGGAGUUCAGCGGCUUCCAUUUAUCAGGCAGAUGUAAUCUCCUCAAAUAGCUGCCAAGUCCUGCUCUUCCUGGAGUUCCCUAAGACAACUGCUUCCCCAGGAGGUGAAGGGGCAUUUCCUUCCCCAGGAAGAGAUGCCAUCUGCAUGCAGUAACUGGUCCUUAGAGAAUGCUUGCCGAUUGGAUGGAUGGAUAACAGAUGAGUGAGUGGAUAAAUACACCGAAGAGUUCAACACAGUUAGGGAGGUGUGGAAAUCAAGGCUACGAGUUGGAAGUCACCUCCUCUCAAUCAACCAGCCUGUGCUUGGUGGACAAAAGCCUGAAACCUCAGCUUUGGGGUCCAAAAGCCCCCCUCCUCGUGUUCCUCCCACUGCCUGGGGCAUUACAGGGCCACCAGGGAGACUGACGCUGGAGCCAGUGGGUAGGAGGGGGUCCUGGUAGUCAGAUGGGUGGGGCAGCAGGCUGCAAGUGAGGAAGACAGCACACGUGUUUGUGAGUGUAAGGGUAAGGGCUUAAGUGGUUCCUUUCACUCAUUCACUUAUUCAUCCAUCACCCAGUCAUUCAGACACAUUCAUUGAUCACCUUUUAGGCACUGGGAGCUAUUCUAGAGGCCGUGCCGAACAAAACAGGCAGGAUCUCUAUAU